Molecule: unclassified non-coding RNA, 414 nt
Filed under: Phebalium drummondii
Lineage: Eukaryota; Viridiplantae; Streptophyta; Magnoliopsida; Sapindales; Rutaceae
Description: partial external transcribed spacer
Source: RNAcentral
GUGCAUCGAACUGCUGACUCCCCAUCCGCUUCAGUCUUUCCCCAAGAGAAGAUCCUUCCUUGUGGGAGCUUGUGGUAUCCUGUGUUGCUUACCCACGAAAUGGAAUUCAAUGGCUUUGCUGUUUUGAUCCGUCAUGUGCCCUUUGGGGUGUGGGACGGACGUGAGGCGGGCUCUGUGUUCCCGACGUGCCUAGUGUGUUAUCGCUUGGCCGUUGUUGCCCAUGGAGUCUCUGCUUGUUCUCUCGGAUACGGAAUGCUAUGCGGGGGCGUGAGGUCUUGACCUCAUUACGUCCAAGCACUGUCCCUUGACUCGAACGACUGCUGUGCUCGUCUUUGAUCUUCCCGACCAAGGCCUCGUAGUGGGGCUUACUGGACGAGGGUUGCUCAUGCGGGCUUCGGCGUCGAAGAGGAAUGC